This 496-nucleotide ribosomal RNA is filed under the name uncultured bacterium. RNAcentral's name for it is "partial 16S ribosomal RNA". It matches the Rfam family "Bacterial small subunit ribosomal RNA", at positions 29 to 507 of the family's 1533-position model. The record is from RNAcentral.
ACGAACGCUGGCGGCGUGCCUAAUACCUGCAAGUAGAACGCUGAAGAGAGGAGCUUGCUCUUCUUGGAUGAGUUGCGAACGGGUGAGUAACGCGUAGGUAACCUGCCUUGUAGCGGGGGAUAACUAUUGGAAACGAUAGCUAAUACCGCAUAACAAUGGAUGACACAUGUCAUUUAUUUGAAAGGGGCAAUUGCUCCACUACAAGAUGGACCUGCGUUGUAUUAGCUAGUAGGUGAGGUAAUGGCUCACCUAGGCGACGAUACAUAGCCGACCUGAGAGGGUGAGCGGCCACACUGGGACUGAGACACGGCCCAGACGCCUACGGGAGGCAGCAGUAGGGAAUCUUCGGCAAUGGGGGCAACCCUGACCGAGCAACGCCGCGGGAGGGAAGAAGGGUGUCGGAUCGUAAAGCUCUGUUGUAAGUCAAGAACGGGUGUGAGAGUGGAAAGUUCACACUGUGACGGUAGCUUACCAGAAAGGGACGGCUAACUACGUG